Perca flavescens (yellow perch) is the source of this 1975-nucleotide RNA transcript. It is a transcript of the gene named testis expressed 26, with no coding region annotated. Lineage: Eukaryota; Metazoa; Chordata; Actinopteri; Perciformes; Percidae. The transcript has 8 exons. The record is from RefSeq and is a predicted model, not a curated record.
UCACCUUCUAGCUAGCGUUAGCUUUAAUGAUAGCAACACGGCCAGACCAAUCAGCCACCAUUACCAUGCUAACAUAUAGCAGGCUAGCUAUGUCGGCUAGCUCAUAACACAUUAGCGGACGUUACGCUAACCCGAGCGUAGUCGUUGAUUUGGUCAUUGGGUUAAUCUAUCGCCCCUUGUUUUUGGAAGCUAAUGUCAGUGUUAGGUAACUACGCAGCUAGCUAAGUUAGCAAGAUAGUGUUAAACAUCAGCAGGGGCUUGAUACCGUGUUAGGAUCUUAUCCAGCUCAGUCAUGCAACGCAACAUGUACGUUAAGGUUACAACGCCGUUGUAUACUGUGCAAACCUUAUCACAGACCACGGCUUCAUUCAUAACAACAAGUACAUACUAGUCGCGUUGUUAAUAAGUGACGUUAGCGUUAAACAUGGAUUAUGCUUACCCCUGAAGCCAGCUUUACGUCGGUACGUAUCAAACAAUGGAAGAAGAAGCACCGUCUGUCGGUGCGCGGUCUCUCGGCUGUGAGGAUGCCUCUGUGUUUGUCUUGUGUGUCGGGCUCCGGCUGUUGAACAUUGGCUGCCGUCAACUCCUUGGAGUACCUUAUUGGACACUCGCUGUCUCAGUCCUGCUUGUUGCAAGUAGUACAGUUGGUUGUCCAAAACACGACGGGGCGGUGGCGCUAAACUUGAAUGUCGAAUAGCCAGCGCCUGGGAAAGAUUUAACGUAACGUUAUGCAAGUAUAUUCAAAUUGAGGUGCAAGCCAUCAAUAAAGUGAACAGUCACCUGCAAAUGGAAAGGUUUUCAUUACACCGAAAACAACUACUGUAGCGCAAGGUACCGAAACAGUGGUCACCAAUGGCAACCGAAGAAGGAAAACAGUGGUGGGAUCCAUAUGAAACAUCUCAUAGAAGACAAUUUGUCUACUGUCCAAACUCAGCUGCAGAGAUUCUGUUGUGCCCAACGUCAACUUCAUUUAUAGGCUCCAAUUCACAGUCUAGACCUUUUGGUUCAACUGUGUACAAUAAGGAUUUUUGCUGGAAGCCAGCCUGCAAACCUGAAUGCAUUCGCACAGGAACCGCCUCAGGGCACAGAAGAAACAACCCGCAUCCCAGUCAGUCUUUCAUCAUGUGGAGGCUGCCUAGGGACGCCACACAAAGCUCUGAGUAUGUCAGCUUUCCUUGGAAAUGUCCCCCAUCUGAGGAGGAGAUCUGUAAGGCCUUGACAGCACAGUACAGCUCCAUCUACAGAUGUGACUACAUGGGUAUGCCUCAAGCUCAUUUUCCUUUUGUUGUGGAACUUCUUUGACAGGACGUGUUCAUAUUAAACAAGCAGAAAGAAGACUUACACCUCUGCACAGCAGGCGUGAAAUGCCGCUUUCUACUGAUACAGAGAUGAGGGACAAUUACCGCCAGCCAAAGCAAAAACCUGAACUGCUGGACAACUACUCUCACUACAGCUGCAGCACACAUCCUAACAUGGCCUGUCGUGGUAUAGUUCCAACUGUUGUGCAAAGGCACACUCAGCAGAAAAGAUCCGAUUUGGCCAACUACGACUGUGGAAAGAGAGUCACUGAUGUCACAUGUGUGAUAAAGUCUCUGCUGCCCCAGGAGCUGCAGCAAUUACACAGAAUUUUACCUGAGGAGGAAAAGGAGACUGUAAGAACAGUUUUGAGUAAAGAUGUGUACCCAAACAACAAUGAGAAAGUGUGUAAACUCCCAGCGGUUGGGCUGAAGUCCUGCUCACCAGAGAGGAUAUCAAGCUGGCCAGGACCUCUCUGAACCUCAUCGCUUAUAUUAGUUGUUUCUUUAUCUGUCUUUGUAUUUUGUGUGUUUUUAUGUAAUUUAUUUUCAUGGUAGGGGUAAAACUGUAAUAAAUAACAUGACAUAAUAUAACCAAUAUACAUAAAAAUUAACAGUGUCUUGCAGAAUUAGAUUGCCGUCAUUUUUGUGUGGAACUUGUGUGUUGUGAUAAUUAAACA